Molecule: ribosomal RNA, 241 nt
Filed under: uncultured bacterium
Lineage: Bacteria
Description: partial 16S ribosomal RNA
Rfam family: Bacterial small subunit ribosomal RNA
Source: RNAcentral
AAGCGUUGUCCGGAAUUAUUGGGCGUAAAGAGCUCGUAGGCGGUUUGUCGCGUCGAAUGUGAAAACCCGGGGCUCAACCCCGGGCCUGCAUUCGAUACGGGCAGACUAGAGUUCGGUAGGGGAGUCUGGAAUUCCUGGUGUAGCGGUGAAAUGCGCAGAUAUCAGGAGGAACACCGGUGGCGAAGGCGGGACUCUGGGCCGAUACUGACGCUGAGGAGCGAAAGCGUGGGGAGCAAACAGG